UGGGGAAUAUUGGACAAUGGGCGAAAGCCUGAUCCAGCCAUGCCGCGUGUGUGAAGAAGGUCUUCGGAUUGUAAAGCACUUUAAGUUGGGAGGAAGGGCAGUAAAUUAAUACUUUGCUGUUUUGACGUUACCGACAGAAUAAGCACCGGCUAACUCUGUGCCAGCAGCCGCGGUAAUACAGAGGGUGCAAGCGUUAAUCGGAAUUACUGGGCGUAAAGCGCGCGUAGGUGGUUCGUUAAGUUGGAUGUGAAAUCCCCGGGCUCAACCUGGGAACUGCAUUCAAAACUGACGAGCUAGAGUAUGGUAGAGGGUGGUGGAAUUUCCUGUGUAGCGGUGAAAUGCGUAGAUAUAGGAAGGAACACCAGUGGCGAAGGCGACCACCUGGACUGAUACUGACACUGAGGUGCGAAAGCGUGGGGGAGCAAAAC
Molecule: ribosomal RNA, 428 nt
Filed under: uncultured bacterium
Lineage: Bacteria
Description: partial 16S ribosomal RNA
Rfam family: Bacterial small subunit ribosomal RNA
Source: RNAcentral